This 624-nucleotide long non-coding RNA is filed under the name Nicotiana benthamiana. RNAcentral's name for it is "long non-coding RNA (NBEN_LNC013894)". The record is from RNAcentral. Lineage: Eukaryota; Viridiplantae; Streptophyta; Magnoliopsida; Solanales; Solanaceae.
AGUGGUGUAAUAAGCUCAUAUUAUCUUCACAGCAAUGUAACCAUUCAAACUCAUGGGAAAUAAUUCAACACAAACUAAAUUUACAAACACAAAUCAGAGUCCUAAUUACAAGUCCCAAAGAAAGUCACAAAUGUUCAUGGCAUAACACUAUUAUAAACAUACAAAAACAGAAAGUAUAGAUUGACAAGUUGAAUGAAAAGAAAAACAGAGGAAAACAUUUCGCAAGUAUGGAGAUCUUCAUUUCUUCAUAACAUAUGAACCUUUCUUACAUGUCUAGAAUCAGGAUAUGUACCUCAAAGUUAAGAAGGAAAUAAGGAGAUUAAGAGGUUAAUCACAGCAGCAGCAGAGCCAGCCCAGAAUCAGUAGUCAAAAAGUGAAACCAGCUAAAAAAAAACUCAAUGAAACAGUAAACCCACACUCAAGCUUGAACCAAAACUUUCCAAAACACAACUUCAAUCCAUUUCAACCCCAGGAGAAGAAACUAUGAUUUUCAGAGGAUUUUGUUCACCCAAUGAAAUCAGAAGACUCAUCAAUGAGCAGAAUUUGAGCAGUUUUCUAAACAAAAAUGUGAAAAAUUCAGGAUUCUCAAGAACUCAGCCAUUUUAGUUUUCUCUGGAGUUUUAC